Salmo salar (Atlantic salmon) is the source of this 54-nucleotide non-coding RNA. Lineage: Eukaryota; Metazoa; Chordata; Actinopteri; Salmoniformes; Salmonidae. The record is from Rfam.
UGCAUUUACUACUGUAAGUCGCUCUGGAUAAGAGCGUCUGCUAAAUGAUGUAAA